Molecule: ribosomal RNA, 468 nt
Filed under: uncultured bacterium
Lineage: Bacteria
Description: partial 16S ribosomal RNA
Rfam family: Bacterial small subunit ribosomal RNA
Source: RNAcentral
GACGAACGCUGGCGGCGUGCUUAACACAUGCAAGUCGAACGGAAAGGCCCUGCUUUUGUGGGGUGCUCGAGUGGCGAACGGGUGAGUAACACGUGAGUAUCCUGCCCUUGACUUUGGGAUAACUUCAGGAAACUGGGGCUAAUACCGGAUAGGAGCUCCUGCUGCAUGGUGUGGGUUGGAAAGUUUCGGCGGUUGGGGAUGGACUCGCGGCUGAUCAGCUUGUUGGUGAGGUAGUGGCUUACCAUGGCUUUGACGGGUAGCCGGCCUGAGAGGGUGACCGGCCACAGUGGGACUGAGAUCCGGCGCAAGCUCCUACGGGAGGCAGCAGUGGGGAAUAUUGCACAAUGGGCGGAAGCCUGAGGCAGCAACGCCGCGUGCGGGAUGACGGCCUUCGGGUUGUAAACCGCUUUCGCCUGUGACGAAGCGUGAGUGACGGUAAUGGGUAAAGAAGCACCGGCUAACUACGUG